Molecule: long non-coding RNA, 985 nt
Filed under: Nicotiana benthamiana
Lineage: Eukaryota; Viridiplantae; Streptophyta; Magnoliopsida; Solanales; Solanaceae
Description: long non-coding RNA (NBEN_LNC002799)
Source: RNAcentral
CUGUGAUCUUCUGGGACCUGAAAUCAACUGCACAUAAGAUAUGUAAUCAGCUUGUACAUAUGUAUAGGAUAUGCUCCCAUUUGGAACUUGACUGUGGUAAGGUUUUUUUGGCUGGUUUAAAUGGCAGAAGGUUGUAGUUCUAGUUCCCCCCACCCCACCCCACCCCAAAACCCAAUUAACUUUAUACAGGUAUAGUAUCUGUUAAUAAAGAAAGCAAGAAGGGUCAAGUUUUUCUUUUAAUUUUAAUUCUAUUUCUUCCUAUUUUACUUCUUAGGCCUAGCCUCUGUUUUAGUUUCUUUCCUCACUCCUUUCAACUCCCGUGAGGGUGUGUAUAUUUGUAAAUAUUAGAAGCUUACUUUCAAUCUUUGUCAUGCUAAAAAGAGCAUGCCUUUGGAGCUGGUAUUUUAGUGUUCUCCUUUUAGUUAGGCAGCAGUUAUACCAUUUGUAUUGAGUACAAUAUUUCUGAUAGUUACAGACUUGCAAGCUGCGAUUUGUUCAGCAUCUCACUUUUGUUAUGGUUGAAAUCGUCAACUUGUUUUUGAUAUGUCAGACACCCUCCGACUCAGUUUCGUUCUUUCUGUCCCUUAUUCGGAAAAUUUGUAUAAUAAUAAUAAUAUACGCAGUGUAAUUUCACAAGUGGUUUUUGGGGGUGGUGUAGUAUGUACGCUGGCUUUGGUUGUUUUCGAAAGAUCUACAAAUCAACAAGAACAAAAAUGUAGCAGACUAAAGGAAAUACAGUAGCAAACUAGAUAUGAGCUGAGAAGAUUUAAAAAUAAUAGGUUAAAAAGGCUAGAACAAUAUUAGAAUAACCCAUGAAGAAAGGUAAAGCGUUCGACUAUCCAUUACUCUAAUUAUCGACCUUCACGCCUUUAUAUUAAGAGCUAUGUCCCCAGUGUGAGAAUGCACGGGAAAAAAAUAUGAUAUUACAUGUGUUAAAACAAAAUACAAUGCGCCCUAAAUAUAUGUACAUAACAUGUCCUAUUCU